Molecule: microRNA precursor, 83 nt
Organism: Pan paniscus (pygmy chimpanzee)
Lineage: Eukaryota; Metazoa; Chordata; Mammalia; Primates; Hominidae
Source: Ensembl
UUAGGUUGGUGCAAAAGUAAUUGCGGUUUUUGCCAUUGAAAGUAAUGGCAAAAACCACAAUGACUUUUACAGCAAUCUAAUAA